Molecule: ribosomal RNA, 520 nt
Filed under: uncultured bacterium
Lineage: Bacteria
Description: bacterial SSU rRNA
Rfam family: Archaeal small subunit ribosomal RNA
Source: RNAcentral
AACCUCCGCAAUGUGAGAAAUCGCGACGGGGGGAUCCCAAGUGCCAUUCUUAACGGGAUGGCUUUUCAUUAGUGUAAAGAGCUUUUGGAAUAAGGGCUGGGCAAGACCGGUGCCAGCCGCCGCGGUAACACCGGCAGCUCUAGUGGUAGCAGUCUUUAUUGGGCCUAAAGCGUCCGUAGCCGGUUUAAUAAGUCUCUGGUGAAAUCCUGUAGCUUAACUGUGGGAAUUGCUGGAGAUACUAUUAGACUUGAGACCGGGAGAGGUCAGAGGUACUCCCAGGGUAGAGGUGAAAUUCUGUAAUCCUGGGAGGACCGCCUGUUGCGAAGGCGUCUAACUGGAACGGUUCUGACGGUGAGGGACGAAAGUUAGGGGCGCGAACCGGAUUAGAUACCCGGGUAGUCCUAACCGCAAACGAUGCGGACUUGGUGUUGGGUGGCUUUGAGCUGCUCCAGUGCCGAAGGGAAGCUGUUAAGUCCGCCGCCUGGGAAGUACGGUCGCAAGACUGAAACUUAAAGGAAUU